AGAGUUUGAUCAUGGCUCAGGACGAACGCUGGCGGCGUGCUUAACACACGCAAGUCAAGCGGAAAGGCCCCCGUUGUGGGGUACUCGAGCGGCGAACGGGUGAGUAACACGUGAGUAACCUGCCCUUGGCUUUGGGAUAACCCUCGGAAACGGGGGCUAAUACCGGAUAGUUCACUUGCUGCGGCAUCGUGGUGGGUGGAAAGUUGUUCGGCUGGGGAUGGGCUCGCGGCCUAUCAGCUUGUUGGUGGGGUGAUGGCCUACCAAGGCGGCGACGGGUAGCCGGCCUGAGAGGGCGACCGGCCACACUGGGACUGAGACACGGCCCAGACUCCUACGGGAGGCAGCAGUGGGGAAUAUUGCACAAUGGGCGCAAGCCUGAUGCAGCGACGCCGCGUGAGGGAUGACGGCCUUCGGGUUGUAAACCUCUUUCGACCCUGACGAAGCCUUUGGGUGACGGUAGGGGGAGAAGAAGCGCCGGCCAACUACGUGCCAGCAGCCGCGGUAAGACGUAGGGCGCGAGCGUUGUCCGGAUUUAUUGGGCGUAAAGAGCUCGUAGGCGGCUCGUUGCGUCGGCUGUGAAAACCCGCGGCUCAACCGUGGGCUUGCAGCUGAUACGGGCGGGCUGGAGUUCGGUAGGGGAGACUGGAAUUCCUGGUGUAGCGGUGAAAUGCGCAGAUAUCAGGAGGAACACCGGUGGCGAAGGCGGGUCUCUGGGCCGAUACUGACGCUGAGGAGCGAAAGCGUGGGGAGCGAACAGGAUUAGAUACCCCCGUAGUCC
This 778-nucleotide ribosomal RNA is filed under the name uncultured bacterium. Its description in RNAcentral is "bacterial SSU rRNA". It matches the Rfam family "Bacterial small subunit ribosomal RNA", at positions 8 to 796 of the family's 1533-position model. The record is from RNAcentral.